UGAGAUGAUUAGAACACGAGUUUCAAUCAUGCACCACGCAUAAGCCUUCCGGUGAACCUUUGGGUUGGCUUUCGGGUCGACCUUUGGGCUAGCCUUCGGGCUCUUUGAUGAGAACCAACCACUUCUUUAUGAUUCCU
This 137-nucleotide small nucleolar RNA is filed under the name Neurospora crassa. RNAcentral's name for it is "box C/D snoRNA CD55". The record is from RNAcentral. Lineage: Eukaryota; Fungi; Ascomycota; Sordariomycetes; Sordariales; Sordariaceae.